RNAcentral lists this ribosomal RNA (477 nucleotides) under Amazophrynella matses. Its description in RNAcentral is "partial 16S ribosomal RNA". It matches the Rfam family "Bacterial large subunit ribosomal RNA", at positions 1924 to 2560 of the family's 2925-position model. Lineage: Eukaryota; Metazoa; Chordata; Amphibia; Anura; Bufonidae. The record is from RNAcentral.
UCAACGGCCGCGGUAUCCUAACCGUGCGAAGGUAGCGUAAUCACUUGUUCUCUAAAUCAGGACCAGUAUGAACGGCUUCACGAGGGUUAUACUGUCUCCUUUUUCCAAUUAGUGAACUUAAUUUUCCCGUGAAGAAGCUGGAAUAAUUAUAUAAGACGAGAAGACCCUUUGGAGCUUUAAACAAUUUAGCACCUGCAAUACCAUUAUAUUUCCGAAUUCUUUAUCUUGCAUGAUGACUAAAAGUUUUAGGUUGGGGUGACCGCGGAGUAAAGUACAUCCUCCACAUUGUAAGAAUCUCUAAUCUUAACUAAGAGAAACACCUCUAAGUAUUAGUAUACUAACAUUUAUUGACCCAAUACACUUGAUCAACGAACCAAGUUACCCUAGGGAUAACAGCGCAAUCCAUUUCAAGAGCCCCUAUCGCCAAAUGGGUUUACGACCUCGAUGUUGGAUCAGGAUUUCCCAGCCGCUCUAAUU